This 423-nucleotide ribosomal RNA is filed under the name uncultured bacterium. RNAcentral's name for it is "bacterial SSU rRNA". It matches the Rfam family "Bacterial small subunit ribosomal RNA", at positions 207 to 622 of the family's 1533-position model. The record is from RNAcentral.
AAGACCUUGCGCUUUUGGAGCGGCCGAUGCCUGAUUAGCUAGUUGGUGGGGUAAUGGCCUACCAAAGCUUCGAUCAGUAGCUGGUCUGAGAGGACGGCCAGCCACACUGGGACUGAGACACGGCCCAGACUCCUACGGGAGGCAGCAGUGGGGAAUUUUGGACAAUGGGCGCAAGCCUGAUCCAGCCAUGCCGCGUGAGUGAAGAAGGCCUUCGGGUUGUAAAGCCCUUUCAGCCGGGAAGAAAAGGUUGCGAUUAAUAAUCGCAAUUUAUGACGGUACCGGAAGAAGAAGCACCGGCUAACUACGUGCCAGCAGCCGCGGUAAUACGUAGGGUGCGAGCGUUAAUCGGAAUUACUGGGCGUAAAGGGUGCGCAGGCGGUUUUGUAAGUCGGAUGUGAAAUCCCCGGGCUUAACCUGGGAACU